CCAGGUCCUGCUUGCUGAAGCCUUAGGGAGGAAAAGCUUUCACUCUCAGGACAAGAAUGUGAGAAUUAUGGGGCGUCAGAUGCUACACCUCCCUUGUGACCAUGAAGAGAAGGACACCGAUGGACACUGUGAGACACAGCUCACAUCCAAAGGGAACUAUGCUGAAAAACGGACCCUGGUGCCAUCCUUCGAGCUUCCCUGAUAACGUCUGCCGUUAAGAAGAGCGACUUCUAGGUUCCUGCCAUCUACAGCAUGGACAAUUCCAACUCAUCCUAUGGACUGACAGUUACAGCAUGGCUUGUGGCCGCCUGACCGCGCGGAGCAUGGUGCACCAGGAGCGAAGCCCUGCCGUGUUGGUCACAGGACCUGUAGCAGAGACAAGUUCGUUGAAAAGGACGUGUAGUCACAGCUUUAAUAGUGCUUGCUUAUGAAUUUGAAAGUAGAGCAACAAGUCGAAUGAGAGCUCCUGCUCUGGGGAAGCCAGAUACCAUGUUUUGAGGACAAUCAAGCAGCUUCAUGGAGAGGCCUACAAAAAUGAAGAAUUGAAGCACCCCAGCAAGUGAAGAACUGAAGCCUCUUGCUAAAAGCCGGAAAGGAAUUGAGGCCUCCUGCAAAUAAUCAUGUGAGUGUCAUUUUGAAAGUGGAUCUUCAAGCCUCAGUCAAGCAAUUUCAUUGCAGAUACUGAGUCAGAACCACUGACUAGCACAUUCUUGAGUUUCUGGCCCCGAGAAACUAUGAGAUAAUAAUAGUUUUCUGUUUUGAAUUGUUAAGUUUUAAAAUAAUUUGUUAUGCAGUAAUAAAAAACUAAUAUGACAAUGGUCUAACAACCAUAGCUUUGAUGAAUAUAGUGGAUUGGCACUCAGGAUCCUUUCUAUCCUUCUUUUAGACUGCCCACCAUACCACAGAGACUAGAAUGCUGAAAAACACACUAUUACUACAUUUUAGAAACUCCCUUGCAGCUAGGAUUCAAAGAGUGUUUAGAUUCUACCAAUCAGAAUGCCCUCCUGUGAGAUAUGGAAGGGGCAGGCAAGGAAAGUCUUAUUUCUGUUGCCUCCAUUAGUAGGCACAUUUGUAGAGGGUUGUUUUGU
Molecule: long non-coding RNA, 1088 nt
Filed under: Homo sapiens (human)
Lineage: Eukaryota; Metazoa; Chordata; Mammalia; Primates; Hominidae
Description: HSALNT0315705
Source: RNAcentral